RNAcentral lists this ribosomal RNA (419 nucleotides) under uncultured bacterium. RNAcentral describes it as "partial 16S ribosomal RNA". It matches the Rfam family "Bacterial small subunit ribosomal RNA", at positions 360 to 776 of the family's 1533-position model. The record is from RNAcentral.
AAUAUUUGUCAAUGGACGCAAGUCUGAACCAGCCACGUCGCGUGAAGGAAGACGGCCCUACGGGUUGUAAACUUCUUUUGUAAGGGAAUAAAGUGAGUCACGUGUGACUUCUUGCAUGUACCUUCCGAAUAAGGAUCGGCUAACUACGUGCCAGCAGCCGCGGUAAUACGGAGGAUCCGAGCGUUAUCCGGAUUUAUUGGGUUUAAAGGGUGCGCAGGCGGGAGAUUAAGUCGGCGGUGAAAUUUUGCAGCUCAACUGUAAAAGUGCCUUCGAAACUGGUUUCCUUGAGUAUGGAUGAAGUAGGCGGAAUUUGUGGUGUAGCGGUGAAAUGCAUAGAUAUCACGAGGAACUCCGAUUGCGCAGGCAGCUUACUAAGCCAUAACUGACGCUCAGGCACGAAGGCGUGGGGAUCAAACAGG